Long non-coding RNA from Mus musculus (house mouse), 1059 nucleotides. RefSeq annotates it as predicted gene, 35496. Lineage: Eukaryota; Metazoa; Chordata; Mammalia; Rodentia; Muridae. The record is from RefSeq and is marked validated. The transcript is spliced from 3 exons.
AAACACUGUAUCUGCUCUCUGUGGUUCCCGUCAGUAUUACUUUUAGUGUUAUAGUGACAAGGCAUUUGUCUUCUGUCCCUAUGUCAGUUAGGGACUGUUUCUCCAGAGGCCUUUCUUUGAAAUAUGCAGCCCGAGAACAGCCAAAUGAUUUCUUCCUACUGCAAGGUGAAAGUGUCAUCUGCUUUCUGUCAUUGAAUUAAUCGACAGAGAAGCAAGCUGCUGUUCUAGUUGGCAUGAUGAAUACUGGUAUCAACAGGAAGAUUUUUUGUUACAGUUUUAUACAAUGCAAUGUUUAUGUCAGUGAUGUCAAAAGUUGUUUAGGACUGGCAAGGCAACUCAGUGGAUAAAGGUGCUCUCCAUCAGCUAUAAGGACACGUGUUGGUUCUCCAGGAUUCACAUGGAGAAAGGUGAUAACCACCUCUGACCCAUACAGGUCUACUGCUGAAUAAGCUCACCUUCUCCAACAUUUUGAACUCUGGCUGACUAGUUCAGUGCUGUUCUGGCUGAAACUCCUUUCCAAGCUAACUGAUUCAAUCUGGCUUCUCUGAGAUUCUAACUGAAUUGCUCUGCUUGGCCUCAAAAUACCUCUGGUAUUUAGUUAUAAUCUUCUGGCUCCUUAUUAGUCUCUAGCUUCAACUGCCUCUAUUGACCUGCACUGAACUGAAUGAGGUGACAAUUAUCUCAACUCUACUUUGCUGCACUCACUUCACUGUCUCUUGACUAUAUUUUUCACCCUCUCUCUUGUGCUGCUCUUAAAUACUUUGUCUUGACUGUGCUGUUCCCAUGAGAAUUGGGCAUACCCUAUCUCUGACUCAUUUUGUCAAAUCUUUCUCUGAUUGGCACUAUCUAUCCCUAAAUUUGGCAUCAUUGCUUGGCAUUAAAGGUGGGUAUUAAGGGUGUGUCUAUAUUUCAGCCAGAGGAAAAUAAAGGUGUUUGGUGUGUCUGUAUUUCAUCCAUAUCACACAUACCUUGGAUGUGAUUUGAGGAGCCAUGCUGCCAGAUUAAACUUCCUCUAUAAUUAUUUGAAGAACAUUUAACUAAUUAAAAUUGACUGAAAGG